GCGAACGCUGGCGGCAGGCUUAACACAUGCCAGUCGAACGGGCACUUCGGUGCUAGUGGCCGACGGGUGAGUAACACGUGGGAACGUACCUUUCGGUUCGGAAUAAUCCAGGGAAACUUGGACUAAUACCGGAUACGCCCUUCGGGGGAAAGAUUCAUCGCCGAUAGAUCGGCCCGCGUCUGAUUAGCUAGUUGGUGAGGUAAUGGCUCACCAAGGCGACGAUCAGUAGCUGGUCUGAGAGGAUGAUCAGCCACAUUGGGACUGAGACACGGCCCAAACUCCUACGGGAGGCAGCAGUGGGGAAUAUUGGACAAUGGGCGCAAGCCUGAUCCAGCCAUGCCGCGUGAGUGAUGAAGGCCUUAGGGUUGUAAAGCUCUUUUGUCCGGGAAGAUAAUGACUGUACCGGAAGAAUAAGCCCCGGCUAACUUCGUG
Molecule: ribosomal RNA, 432 nt
Filed under: uncultured bacterium
Lineage: Bacteria
Description: partial 16S ribosomal RNA
Rfam family: Bacterial small subunit ribosomal RNA
Source: RNAcentral